Non-coding RNA from Macaca mulatta (Rhesus monkey), 502 nucleotides. Lineage: Eukaryota; Metazoa; Chordata; Mammalia; Primates; Cercopithecidae. The record is from RefSeq and is a predicted model, not a curated record.
CCCGCGGCGCCCCGGAGGGUCUUGCUGCUUUGUGCGUAAAGGCUGCUUGGAGUGCGGGUUUCCCCGUUUUUUCCAGUCAGAGCUCAGUUUCUCAGCUACCCGUCGCUUAGUCGCUAUCGGAUCGCUUAAAAGCUCCAGAUCAAAUAAUCAUGUUUCCAGCUGGAUGGAAAUUCAGAAAAUCAGGAGCCUCUUAGUGAAAGAUGGUGGUUGUAUCCAGUCUAACCCCAAGCUGACCUUCCCACUAGAGGAAGAGGAAAUGGGUUCAAGUGGAACACACUGACACCCAGCUCAGAUGCUCACAUACCCCAGAGUAGAAGCCUUUUCAAAUAGCUCGAUAAUUCCAUCUGGACCAGUACUGAGGAUAAACGCUGCUGGGAAUCCCCCAAUCACUGAGAUGCAUUGGAAAGUUCUGCACCCCAUUACAGUCCUGUCCACUCAUUCCCACACUCAAAUCCAGAUAGGCUCAACUGGAUUGGAGAAGUUAAGAAAUAAAAUAUAAAAG